GGUGAUAUAGUAUAGUGGUUAGUACGGAUCGUUGUGGCUUGCUCAUCUGGGCAUAACAACUUCCGAUCAGACCCCGGUUCGAUUCCGGGUAUCGCCA
Non-coding RNA from Truncatella angustata, 97 nucleotides. Lineage: Eukaryota; Fungi; Ascomycota; Sordariomycetes; Amphisphaeriales; Sporocadaceae. The record is from the annotation of a RefSeq genome assembly.